Molecule: ribosomal RNA, 508 nt
Filed under: uncultured bacterium
Lineage: Bacteria
Description: bacterial SSU rRNA
Rfam family: Bacterial small subunit ribosomal RNA
Source: RNAcentral
AGAGUUUGAUCCUGGCUCAGGAUGAACGCUGGCGGCGUGCCUAAUACAUGCAAGUCGAACGAGGUGCUUUUGUAGCAAUACGAGAGUAUCCUAGUGGCGAACGGGUGAGUAACGCGUUGGUGACCUACCCCAAAGUGUGGGAUAACAGUCCGAAAGGACUGCUAAUACCGCAUGUGGUCUUCGGGCCUAGAAACCGAUGACUAAAGGAGCAAUUCGCUUUGGGAGGGACCUGCGUCCCAUCAGCUAGUUGGUAGGGUAAUGGCCUACCAAGGCUACGACGGGUAGGGGACCUGAGAGGGUGGCCCCCCACAAUGGAACUGAAACACGGUCCAUACACCUACGGGUGGCAGCAGUAGGGAAUAUUGCACAAUGGGCGAAAGCCUGAUGCAGCAACGCCGCGUGCGCGAUGAAGGCCUUCGGGUCGUAAAGCGCUUUUCUGAGAGAUGAGAAAGGACAGUAUCUCAGGAAUAAGUCUCGGCUAACUACGUGCCAGCAGCCGCGGUAAUAC